AUCCAGCUGACGAGUCCCAAGUAGGACGAAAUGCGCGUCCUGGAU
Non-coding RNA from Schistosoma curassoni, 45 nucleotides. The record is from Rfam. NCBI's taxonomy places the organism in Eukaryota, Metazoa, Platyhelminthes, Trematoda, Strigeidida, Schistosomatidae.